RNAcentral lists this ribosomal RNA (497 nucleotides) under uncultured bacterium. RNAcentral describes it as "partial 16S ribosomal RNA". It matches the Rfam family "Bacterial small subunit ribosomal RNA", at positions 28 to 507 of the family's 1533-position model. The record is from RNAcentral.
GAUGAACGCUGGCGGCGUGCCUAAUACAUGCAAGUCGAGCGAACAGACGAGGAGCUUGCUCCUCUGACGUUAGCGGCGGACGGGUGAGUAACACGUGGAUAACCUACCUAUAAGACUGGGAUAACUUCGGGAAACCGGAGCUAAUACCGGAUAAUAUAUUGAACCGCAUGGUUCAAUAGUGAAAGACGGUUUUGCUGUCACUUAUAGAUGGAUCCGCGCCGCAUUAGCUAGUUGGUAAGGUAACGGCUUACCAAGGCAACGAUGCGUAGCCGACCGGAGAGGGUGAUCGGACACACUGGAACUGAGACACGGUCCAGACUCCUACGGGAGGCAGCAGUAGGGAAUCUUCCGCAAUGGGCGAAAGCCUGACGGAGCAACGCCGCGUGAGUGAUGAAGGUCUUCGGAUCGUAAAACUCUGUUAUUAGGGAAGAACAAAUGUGUAAGUAACUAUGCACGUCUUGACGGUACCUAAUCAGAAAGCCACGGCUAACUACGUG